AGCUUUAUAGUCAAUUAUGAUAUUAGACUGCAAUUCUAAAGGAGUAUUCUUAUACUAAGGCUU
RNAcentral lists this transfer RNA (63 nucleotides) under Panorpa curva. RNAcentral describes it as "tRNA-Cys". The record is from RNAcentral. RNAcentral also lists the same sequence under 1 other name. Lineage: Eukaryota; Metazoa; Arthropoda; Insecta; Mecoptera; Panorpidae.